This is a long non-coding RNA of Oreochromis niloticus (Nile tilapia), 2494 nucleotides long. The record is from Ensembl. Lineage: Eukaryota; Metazoa; Chordata; Actinopteri; Cichliformes; Cichlidae.
AUGGAGAGGCCUAAAUUUCAAGUCAGACUUGAAGCUGCUGUUGCACACAGGGAGCCUCUAACCUGGCCCAUCGCUCCCGAUGGCUACAUCCCCAACUCUGUGAUCCGCAGCCGGAGGAGGAAGGGCAAGAAACUUUGGGAUGACAGCUUCUUUCAUGGUCAACGAACGGAUGAAUGCACCACAGGUUACAAGCAGGAUAAAAUCACAGAUUAUUUAUGGUUCCAGACUGAAAAUGAGAAAGAAGGUGAGCUGAAAAGAAAGAAGAGCGGACCAGAAGAUGAGAGGACAAGGAAAGAAAGUAAAAAAAUAGGCUGGCAAGGACGUGACGAUACAAAGGAAGAAGAAACAGAGAAGAAGACAGAAAAGGAAGCUGAAAAAGCUCAAGAAAAGCUGGAGGUGAUGAGAAAGAAAAAAACUGAUGCAAAGAAAGAAAAUGGCAAAGACGAGACGGAGAAGUUUAUCCAGACUGCGAGUCCUGUGAACGAACAACCGAAACCCUCUGAGGACGCUAAUGUGGCGCCUCAAAAGCAAGCAGAUGAUCCAACAAAUGCUCCGGACUUCCUACCAACUUCCUGUGAUGAGAAGAGAAGCAAACCUGUGAGAGAGCUGAAGACAGAAAUGGAGCUCUGUGAAGUCAUUCCCAAAGAGCUGCAAAAUGAAACCUACUCCCCACUGGUGGCUCCAGAGGAUCCUCAACCACAACCAGAACCGUCACCAAUCAAGGAUCAAAGGUUCCUCCUUUUCUCACACAAAUAUGACAGCAUAGCUAACCGUGUGCAGGCUGGCCUCGACGACAGAGUGCUGGCCCUCUACAAGAACUUCAAAGUCUUCAGAAAGAACUUGCCACAUCUUGGAAAACUCUCUGUCCCCACUGAGCACCGUCCUUACCCUACACAGUCCCGCUGCUCUACACUUCAGGCUAAUGCUGCUGAGAGCAGUUUGAAAGGUGGACUGUAUAGCUCCCCUCCCCAUGUGCCCUCACAGUCCAUAGUUCAGGCCACUUGUCUGGGGGGAAGUCUAAGCAGUGACUUGGGUGGUGACCCAACAUUUAAUAGUACAGUGUCCACUGCUCAGAUUCAGGGCUGCACACAGCUGCCCCAAACCUCGGGACCAAGCAUGACUGAGUGGAGAACCAACCUGUACAAACUCAUCUCUGUGCAUGGAUUCCAGUCUGCACGGGCAGCACGCUUACACGCCUCAAAGCACGCACACACGUUUCCUACUGACGUGCAGCUUGUGACAGAUUUUCCCCCACUGCAGCCUCAGCUGGCAGCAGCACAUCAGAGGGUGGUUCAGAAGAUCAAGCUGAAAGACUCCGUGGAGACAGCCGGCGGUUGCUUCUACCGUAUCAUUCCAAUGGCUUCCCAGCACAACUUUCUCACUGCACAGCUCUGUGGGAAGGCCCGGUAUGGACUCCUGGAGUUUGAUUGGACGAGGGGAUGUGAUGAAGAAAGUGUGCUCAGGGUGUCAUCGCUCGAGUCGAGCGACCACAGAGCGGAAGAUUAAAACUGUGAUUGUCACAUUAAACGUUAACAUAAUAUGUGGUACAUUUGUCUUUGUCUAAAUGUUCACGCAGGCUGAUUUUGAUGCUGUUAGCUUGGUUCACUUUCUUUAUCCCUACUGAAAUGAAUCAACACAACUUGCUCAUUCCCACAGGAUACAUCCUAUGGACUAAUUGUGCUGCUUUUCCAUCAAACCCGAAUCUUCCACAGCAAACUCCCACCACAUGCAGACACCACAGAACGGCACUAUUUAUGUUUCCAAGACAAUAUAUUGGGAAGUUUUUGUCCGUUUGUCCUUGCACCAUCAGCAGGUACAUGCUCUGCUCUGGACUUACAUUCACAUCGUCAGUGACUGAAAACAGGACCUUAUAGGUGUGACAUUAUUAUCAAGUGCUACCAGAUAAAUAAAGGAAAUAUUAAGUCACAGAAUAACUUGACAUCCCUCAUAGGAUACAUGUUUGACAGAUUGUAGUCUAAUAAGUCAUUCACAGCAGUUUAAAUGUGGGCAGUCAUUUUUAGCCAAAUACCUAAAAUCCUUUUUUGGCACAACAGCAGAAAUACCGAGCGGAAGAUCGACAUGUAGAAAGUCAUCCAACAGGUGAAAGACAGAGAGCCUCAGGGACUAGACUGAACAUGGCUGCACUGCUUUUACACCCAAAUGUUCAAAAACUGCCAAACUGACAUUUUUUGGGUCUUCGGUGCACAAGAAGGUAAACUUGGUCCAUCCUCCUGACUGAAACGCUGUGACCGGCUCAGUUUGUCCACAUGUUCCAAAUUCUAAGUUACUUUUGAAUUGAAUUUAUUUAUUAUCAUUUAAUAAUGCCGCUGAGCUCUCAUACGAUAGUAGCACAUAGCAUGUUGGUGCUAAUCACAUGGUAGCACUUUAUGACAAUGUCACACUAUUAAGCAUUAGUCAGGUAUUAGUAAGCGCUUAAUUCAUCAUUUAUUUAUCAUGACUCCUCCUUAGUAUGUCAUUCAUAAAUACAGGCAUG